This 747-nucleotide long non-coding RNA is filed under the name Pan troglodytes (chimpanzee). Its description in RNAcentral is "lincRNA". Lineage: Eukaryota; Metazoa; Chordata; Mammalia; Primates; Hominidae. The record is from RNAcentral.
AGAAGAAUGUAGAACUUUCAUAACAGAAAGAAAAGUUUUUAGGCAUCUAUUUUACCAUCUCAGAGGAAGAUAGCUGCAGUUGUGUAAAACAGAUUUAUUUAUUCAAAAAUCAACUAUUUAUGGAAUACCUACUUUGUCUUGAGCCCUGAUGUGAGAGCUGGAGAUCCCAAGAUGAAUAAGACACCAUCGCUACUGUCAAGGAACUCACAGCCCAGUGAAAGACACAGAGAAGAAACUAGACAGUUGUAGUUGUAUCAGACACCUGCAGUUGCCAUCUACCUUUCUAGGAAUUGUCCUUUCCCACCCACACAGUCACAAAAGGCAAUAUGAUUCUACCCUCACUUUCCCAAGAUGAUUGGUCCCUCAGGAUGCAGUUGACUCAUGAGUAUUCUACAUUGUUACUGAAGUGAUGAUUCUUCUGACCAGUGAAACGGGGUCAUAUUUCCUGCAUUUAGAAUUUUAUUUGGUUCCCAGCAAGACAAUAGCAGUUAGAUUGAAUGACUCAGUAAUGGGAGCACUGAUUGAAAAAGAAAGAUGAGAAGAACCUCUGGGACUUGAACAAGAUUUAAUCUCUUUUGUUCUCAAAGAAAACUGGUCUGCAUAAAAGAGCUCAAACUGAAUUGUUCUAAACUGGAGGGGAAGGGGACUUCUAAACAGCCUAUUAUUUGAGAUUAUCCAGAUUAUAUAACUUAAUUCCAGAUACUUAGGAAUCAUUUUAUUUUCAAUAAAUUCUAUCUUUUCAUCUUC